RNAcentral lists this ribosomal RNA (252 nucleotides) under uncultured bacterium. RNAcentral's name for it is "partial 16S ribosomal RNA". It matches the Rfam family "Bacterial small subunit ribosomal RNA", at positions 524 to 776 of the family's 1533-position model. The record is from RNAcentral.
UACGGAGGAUGCGAGCGUUAUCCGGAUUUAUUGGGUUUAAAGGGUGCGUAGGCGGGCUUUUAAGUCAGCGGUAAAAAUUCGGGGCUCAACCCCGUCCGGCCGUUGAAACUGGGGGCCUUGAGUGGGCGAGAAGAAGGCGGAAUGCGUGGUGUAGCGGUGAAAUGCAUAGAUAUCACGCAGAACCCCGAUUGCGAAGGCAGCCUUCCGGCGCCCUACUGACGCUGAGGUGCGAAAGCGUGGGUAGCAAACAGG